GAUGAACGCUGGCGGCGUGCCUAAUACAUGCAAGUCGAGCGAACGGACGAGAAGCUUGCUUUUCUGAUGUUAGCGGCGGACGGGUGAGUAACACGUGGAUAACCUACCUAUAAGACUGGGAUAACUUCGGGAAACCGGAGCUAAUACCGGAUAAUAUUUUGAACCGCAUGGUUCAAAAGUGAAAGACGGUCUUGCUGUCACUUAUCGAUGGAUCCGCGCUGCAUUAGCUAGUUGGUAAGGUAACGGCUUACCAAGGCAACGAUGCAUAGCCGACCUGUGAGGGUGAUCGGCCACACUGGAACUGAGACACGGUCCAGACUCCUACGGGAGGCAGCAGUAGGGAAUCUUCCGCAAUGGGCGAAAGCCUGACGGAGCAACGCCGCGUGAGUGAUGAAGGUCUUCGGAUCGUAAAACUCUGUUAUUAGGGAAGAACAUAUGUGUAAGUAACUGUGCACAUCUUGACGGUACCUAAUCAGAAAGCCACGGCUAACUACGUG
RNAcentral lists this ribosomal RNA (497 nucleotides) under uncultured bacterium. RNAcentral describes it as "partial 16S ribosomal RNA". It matches the Rfam family "Bacterial small subunit ribosomal RNA", at positions 28 to 507 of the family's 1533-position model. The record is from RNAcentral.